Molecule: ribosomal RNA, 498 nt
Filed under: uncultured bacterium
Lineage: Bacteria
Description: partial 16S ribosomal RNA
Rfam family: Bacterial small subunit ribosomal RNA
Source: RNAcentral
GACGAACGCUGGCGGCGUGCCUAAUACAUGCAAGUCGAACGAGAGCGACCGGUGCUUGCACUGGUCAAUCUAGUGGCGAACGGGUGAGUAACACGUGGGUAACCUGCCCAUCAGAGGGGGAUAACAUUCGGAAACGGAUGCUAAAACCGCAUAGAUCUUCGAACCGCAUGGUUUGAAGAGGAAAAGAGGCGCAAGCUUCUGCUGAUGGAUGGACCCGCGGUGCAUUAGCUAGUUGGUGAGGUAACGGCUCACCAAGGCCGUGAUGCAUAGCCGACCUGAGAGGGUGAUCGGCCACAUUGGGACUGAGACACGGCCCAAACUCCUACGGGAGGCAGCAGUAGGGAAUCUUCCGCAAUGGACGCAAGUCUGACGGAGCAACGCCGCGUGAGUGAAGAAGGUUUUCGGAUCGUAAAACUCUGUUGUUAGAGAAGAAUAAGUGCUAGAGUAACUGUUAGCGCCUUGACGGUAUCUAACCAGAAAGCCACGGCUAACUACGUG